UUGGAGGGCAAGUCUGGUGCCAGCAGCCGCGGUAAUUCCAGCUCCAAUAGCGUAUAUUAAAGUUGUUGCAGUUAAAAAGCUCGUAGUCGAAUUUCGAGAUCAAUCUGUCGGUCGUGCUUCGGUACGUACUGGCAUUAUUGAUUUCUCCCUUCUGAAGAACCGCGAUGUCAUUAAUUUGGUGUCGUGGGGAAUCAGGACUGUUACUUUGAAAAAAUUAGAGUGUUUAAAGCAGGCUUACGCUUGAAUACAUUAGCAUGGAAUAAUGAAAUAGGACGUUUGAUUCUAUUUUGUUGGUUUCUAGGAUUGACGUAAUGAUUAAUAGGGAUAGUUGGGGGCAUUAGUAUUCAAUUGUCAGAGGUGAAAUUCUUGGAUUUAUUGAAGACUAACUACUGCGAAAGCAUUUGCCAAGGAUGUUUUCAUUAAUCAAGAACGAAAGUUAGGGGAUCGAAGACGAUCAGAUACCGUCGUAGUCUUAACCAUAAACUAUGCCGACUAGGGAUCGGAUGAUGUUAAUUUUUUAAUGACUCAUUCGGCGCCAUACGGGAAACCAAAGUGUUUGGGUUC
This 564-nucleotide ribosomal RNA is filed under the name uncultured Glomeromycotina. RNAcentral describes it as "SSU rRNA". It matches the Rfam family "Eukaryotic small subunit ribosomal RNA", at positions 548 to 1114 of the family's 1831-position model. Lineage: Eukaryota; Fungi; Glomeromycota. The record is from RNAcentral.